This 245-nucleotide ribosomal RNA is filed under the name uncultured bacterium. RNAcentral's name for it is "partial 16S ribosomal RNA". It matches the Rfam family "Bacterial small subunit ribosomal RNA", at positions 524 to 768 of the family's 1533-position model. The record is from RNAcentral.
UACGAAGGAUCCGAGCGUUAUCCGGAUUUAUUGGGUUUAAAGGGUGCGUAGGCGGUUUUGUAAGUCAGCGGUGAAAUCUUCGGGCUUAACCCGGAAAUUGCCGUUGAUACUGCAGAACUUGAGUACAUCUGAAGUGGGCGGAAUAUGACAUGUAGUGGUGAAAUACUUAGAUAUGUCAUAGAACACCGAUUGCGAAGGCAGCUCACUAAACUGUAACUGACGCUGAGGCACGAAAGCGUGGGGAU